Molecule: ribosomal RNA, 1462 nt
Filed under: metagenome
Description: bacterial SSU rRNA
Rfam family: Bacterial small subunit ribosomal RNA
Source: RNAcentral
AGAGUUUGAUCCCGGCUCAGAAUCAACGCUGGCGGCGCGCUUAACACAUGCAAGUCGCACGAGAAAGGGAGCAAUCCUAAGUAAAGUGGCGCACGGGUGAGUAACACGUGGAUCAUCCACCUUCUUGUGGGGAAUAACCCGGGGAAACCCGAGCUAAUACCGCAUAAGCCCGAGAGGGGAAAGCAGCAAUGCGCAGGAAGAGGAGUCCGCGGUCGAUUAGCUAGUUGGUAGGGUAAAGGCCUACCAAGGCUAUGAUCGAUAGCCGGCCUGAGAGGGCACACGGCCACACUGGCACUGAAACACGGGCCAGACUCCUACGGGAGGCAGCAGUGGGGAAUCUUGCACAAUGGGGGAAACCCUGAUGCAGCGACGCCGCGUGGGUGAUGAAGUCCUUCGGGAUGUAAAGCCCUUUCGACGGGGACGAUAAUGACGGUACCCGGAGAAGAAGCUGCGGCUAACUACGUGCCAGCAGCCGCGGUAAUACGUAGGCAGCAAGCGUUGUUCGGAGUUACUGGGCGUAAAGAGUAUGUAGGCGGUUGGGUAAGUUUGGUGUGAAAUCUCCCGGCUUAACUGGGAGGGUGCGCUAAAGACUGCCUGGCUUGAGUGUGGGAGAGGAAAGCGGAAUUCCUGGUGUAGCGGUGAAAUGCGUAGAUAUCAGGAGGAACACCUGCGGUGUAGACGGCUUUCUGGACCAUAACUGACGCUGAGAUACGAAAGCGUGGGUAGCAAACAGGAUUAGAUACCCUGGUAGUCCACGCCCUAAACGAUGCAUACUUGGUGUUGGCCAUUCACUUGGUCGGUGCCGGAGCUAACGCGUUAAGUAUGCCGCCUGGGGAGUACGGUCGCAAGGCUGAAACUCAAAGGAAUUGACGGGGGCCCGCACAAGCGGUGGAGCAUGUGGUUCAAUUCGACGCAACGCGAAGAACCUUACCUGGGCUCGAACGGCUGGUCAACGGCGGUGGAAACAUCGCUACUCCGCAAGGAGGUCCAGUCGAGGUGCUGCAUGGCUGUCGUCAGCUCGUGUCGUGAGAUGUUGGGUUAAGUCCCGCAACGAGCGCAACCCUUGUCCUGUGUUGCCAUCAUUAAGUUGGGAACUCGCAGGAGACCGCCAGCGAUAAGUUGGAGGAAGGUGGGGAUGACGUCAAGUCAUCAUGGCCUUUAUGUCCAGGGCUACACACGUGCUACAAUGGCCGGUACAAUACGACGCUAACCCGCGAGGGGGCGCUAAUCGCUAAAAACCGGUCUCAGUUCGGAUUGCAGGCUGCAACUCGCCUGCAUGAAGCUGGAAUCGCUAGUAAUGGCGUAUCAGAACGACGCCGUGAAUACGUUCCCGGGCCUUGUACACACCGCCCGUCACAUCACGAAAGUGGGUUGUACUACAAGUCCGCCUAAAACGGCCCAAGGUAUGACUCAUGAUUGGGGUGAAGUCGUAACAAGGUAGCCGUAGGAGAACCUGCGGCUG